Molecule: long non-coding RNA, 2594 nt
Organism: Balaenoptera ricei (Rice's whale)
Lineage: Eukaryota; Metazoa; Chordata; Mammalia; Artiodactyla; Balaenopteridae
Exons: 2
Source: RefSeq, a predicted model, not a curated record
GGGGCCGCGGCUCCCGGGACCGUCGGGGCGCCUGCGAGCUCUGUGCGGGAGACGGGCGCGGUCAGGGCCCGGGACGCCGGUCCCCGACACAGCCGAGGCCGCCGCCUCCGGAAAAGUUUUUGGCUCCUAUCUGAUCCUGGUCGCAGCGGGCCCUACCCUCACCCUGCUCCUUGAGGCCACCACCUUUUGUUCCACGGAUUAUCCCCCAGUGGCCCCCGUGUCAACUCAGGUCCGUCCACGCCCACCACACUCCAGGAUGAUUAGCCCAGAGACUACCAAUAGAUGUUGUGGCUCUUCACACGGAGGGGGAGAGGAGGGUUGGCUGUUCAUACAGGAAUGCGGGUCGCUCUGAACACCAGCCUCCGUCACCAAGAGGAAGGAUGAAUGGAAAGAGCACUUAGGUAGCUUUUUACUUAAGUGAGUAGGGUGAGCAGAGAAUUCAGUUUCAUUUCUCCAAUGGGAAAAAGGAAGCCAGAGAUCCCAGAAGUCGUAAACCUGAACUCUCAGUUCUUGAGGAGUGUCUGUGUCUGGUGCUGGGGGUCUGGCGUUCGAAUGUCACCCUCAGAUCGACCCUGAGCAGGCAAGUGGCUCCCGAGCUCUGUGCCUCAGUCCCCCCCACGUUAGACAAAGGAAGAGCAUCUGCUAUUCCUUCUUUUCUCCUCCACAGGAAUGAGCGAACUCUCGUAUGUUCUUUAGUUAGGCUAUGAGCAGGUGUUUAAUUUGUGCUCUCAGAAGAGUGUUUUCUUCCCACCAGGGAUACUGAGCAAAGCAGACCCGAAUGGAUUAUCAAAGAAAGCACAGUCCCUUUUGAGGAUUUUGGACUUCUCUACAGGGGAAGACCACAGUGACCCAUUAGUGAGGAACUGAAACCAAGUCACAUCAGAGACAUGAGUACAGAUCUGGACUGUUUCAUCCCCUGGGCUCUAUACCUUUCUCCUGGGUCCACUCCUGAUUCCAGCUCUUGCUAAUGUUGCCAGCCAAGUUCUACCCAAGGUCCUCAUCAGGCCAAACACUCAUGGGAACAGGAGCAAGAGAAGGGGAACACAAGGGACCCACUGUGGGUCUUGGAAGACCCUCUGAAGCUGACAAUGGCAUGGCCUAACCCAAGUGUUUUGGUAUAGUUGCUGUAAAGCAAGGGAUCUCUGUGAGAGAAAAAAUACCCAUUACAGGUCACAGAUGGUCAGUGCUGGAGCCUGGCAGCCAGGGUGAGUGGAUCCCCAUGGGAUACAGGAUGAGGCCUUCAGGCCCGCCUGGCACACAGAUCUUUCCAUAGCACACACAUGAUGUAACAGCAGUCUAUUCAAGGUUCUCAGUCAGCCACAUCCAAACCCCGAAGGCUGGGAGAGAACUCAGCCUUUGGUCCAAUUAUCUAGUCUAUCUUCAAGGAGGCCUUUACACUGACAUCACACCACCGACUGUUCUCUCUCUCCCUCCUUUCAUAGAUGAGCAAACAAGCACAAUGUGCAGAUGGGGUGUCUUUGAGAAGAACUGAGCUGGAUGGACCUCUUUUAGUUCUCAGGAGAGAAAGAGCAAGUGGCUGUCAGCUCUUCAGAAAGCAGAUUUUAUAAGGGAAAGAUAAAUAAGCGAUGACCUCAGAGGGAAAACCCAGCCAAGUUAACUCAGCCACAAAGAAGGGCACACAGACCAGGAGCUGGAAAACUAGGUCUGCAUCACCCUUUCCUAGCAGGUAAACUGAGAUAAGGAAGAUAAGACGGCUUGAUUUGCUGGCCAGUGGACACCACGAGGUCUGGCCUCCAAACAAAGAAUGACCUUGUCUUCCCACCUCCUUGAAUUCUAAAAUGAACCUUCUCCUGAACUGCAGCAACGUUAAAAAGGAUAAUUUACCAUUAUUAAUCCACUGUAGCAAAAUUGAACCAACUUUCUUUCUAAAACCUGAAAGUUGUGAUAAAAAAACAAAAAGACCAGGCGAUUACACAUAGCAGGCAAGAAAGUACGGAUUGGAUCUAGAUGUAGUGAGAGGUAAAUAUGAAUUUGCAUUUGAGUUCUUAAUUUCCAGGCUUAAAUUUUUUCUUUUUUUCACGACUCUGAAAUAAGGGCAAAUAUGACCUCGUUUUACUGAAGGUUUAGCUGAGGUAUAAGGACAUUGCUAAGUUAGGAUGCUAUUGGGAUAAACAAAGAUCCCAAAAUGCACACUUAACUCAUUUGGAAUGAGAAAUCUGGGCUCGUUUUCGAGCCCGCAUGUGGCCCUUGGUGUGUCUGUACCAAUGGUGAAAUUGCCUUACUUAAGCCUGGCUGGUCCUGAUUUAGACUUUCUGCCUCUACUGCCAUAGCUCAUAGAAUCCCCUCACUGAUGCAUUUUCCUCUCUAAAAAGCCUAUCCCCUAACCCCCACCUGCCCAGAGGAGUUAUUUUUCCUUGUGAGUCCACAGCACCUCAUGGUAUUUCUACUUUCCAGAGGAAUCAAAGGCUGGUCUGACACUUCCUUUCUUGGGGGGGUUCAACUCCACAUUCAAUUCCUCUCUGGCUUCUUCUUCUUCAGCUUCUCCCAAGAUGGAAUAUAUCUGUGUUUAUUAUUAGGACCAUGUGCAAAGUUAUUAAAUUGCUAUAAUAAAAUUUAUUUUUAUCUUUUGUAAA